UCGGGUAUCGUCUAACGGUAGGACGCCAGAUUCUGAUUCUGGAUGUUGAGGUUCGAAUCCUUGUACCCGAGCCA
Molecule: transfer RNA, 74 nt
Filed under: Nitrospina sp.
Lineage: Bacteria; Pseudomonadati; Nitrospinota; Nitrospinia; Nitrospinales; Nitrospinaceae
Also listed under: 1 other name
Description: tRNA-Gln
Rfam family: tRNA
About the family: Transfer RNA (tRNA) molecules are approximately 80 nucleotides in length.
Source: RNAcentral